Molecule: ribosomal RNA, 385 nt
Filed under: uncultured bacterium
Lineage: Bacteria
Description: bacterial SSU rRNA
Rfam family: Bacterial small subunit ribosomal RNA
Source: RNAcentral
GACGAACGCUGGCGGCGUGCUUAACACAUGCAAGUCGAACGGUGAAGCCCUUCGGGUGGAUCAGUGGCGAACGGGUGAGUAACACGUGAGCAACCUGCCCUGGACUCCGGGAUAACUGCUGGAAACGGUAGCUAAUACUGGAUAUGACUUCUCAUCGCAUGGUGAGGGGUGGAAAGAAUUUUGGUCUGGGAUGGGCUCGCGGCCUAUCAGCUUGUUGGUGGGUAAUGGCCUACCAAGGCGACGACGGGUAGCCGGCCUGAGAGGGCGACCGGCCACACUGGGACUGAGACACGGCCCAGACUCCUACGGGAGGCAGCAGUGGGGAAUAUUGCGCAAUGGGCGGAAGCCUGACGCAGCAACGCCGCGUGAGGGAUGAAGGCCUUCG